This 449-nucleotide ribosomal RNA is filed under the name uncultured bacterium. RNAcentral describes it as "partial 16S ribosomal RNA". It matches the Rfam family "Bacterial small subunit ribosomal RNA", at positions 29 to 523 of the family's 1533-position model. The record is from RNAcentral.
AGCGAACGCUGGCGGCAGGCCUAACACAUGCAAGUCGAACGAAGUCUUCGGACUUAGUGGCGGACGGGUGAGUAACACGUGGGAACGUGCCCUUUGGUACGGAAUAACUCAGGGAAACUUGAGCUAAUACCGUAUGUGCCCUUCGGGGGAAAGAUUUAUCGCCAUUGGAGCGGCCCGCGUCUGAUUAGCUAGUUGGUGAGGUAAAGGCUCACCAAGGCGACGAUCAGUAGCUGGCCUGAGAGGAUGAUCAGCCACACUGGGACUGAGACACGGCCCAAACUCCUACGGGAGGCAGCAGUGGGGAAUCUUGCGCAAUGGGCGAAAGCCUGACGCAGCCAUGCCGCGUGAAUGAUGAAGGUCUUAGGAUUGUAAAAUUCUUUCACCGGGGACGAUAAUGACGGUACCCGGAGAAGAAGCCCCGGCUAACUUCGUGCCAGCCGCCGCCGUAA